Telopea speciosissima is the source of this 283-nucleotide long non-coding RNA. RefSeq lists it as uncharacterized. The record is from RefSeq and is a predicted model, not a curated record. The transcript has 3 exons. NCBI's taxonomy places the organism in Eukaryota, Viridiplantae, Streptophyta, Magnoliopsida, Proteales, Proteaceae.
GCAAAGUAAUCAAGGUCGUAAGAGAGCACUAUCUUUGAGAUGAUAUCUACUGCGGAGCUUCUAUCUGCAAAGUUUGCCAUUCUUCAGUUGCUCGUUUGAGCUCAUCUGCUUCAACGAUUCUUAUUGUUGAUACCAAUGUUGUUCUUCAUCAGAUUGACUUGCUUGAGAAUCCGGCGAUCGAUGAUGUGGUCGUAAUUUCGGUUGUGCUGGAAGAGGUGAAGAAUAAGAAUCUUUCAGUUUACAACAGAAUGAGGGCCAUUUGCAGCAAUUCUCUGCGGAAAUU